UUUUGCAUUCUCUUUGCUUUUCUUUGUUUAGCAAGGUCUUUAAAAAAAAAAAACAAUCCUUUCCUUCUGUCUUAGAAUUAAUACUGUUGUAAGGGAUUUUAGCAGGAGCAAAUUGAAAACAGGAAGUACAGAGGCAGAGAGGGAAAAUUCCGGAACUAUGAGGAGACUGUCUCUCUGGAGGACAGUUGGUAGAGUUGCUCUCUGAAGGAGAUUUUGAAGCUGCCAGGAGGCUGGGACUUGACUUCAAGCAAAAUCAUCUUGUGGGAGGUGCUAGAGAGAGUGGUAACACUUCACCCAGGUGGACUGUGUGGGUGAAGCCAUUUCUUCCCUUCCUGAUCCUAUGAGCUGCUCCUGGUUUCUGCUGGGACUUCUGACAGACCCAAGAGGACAUCAUUUGUGCUGGCAGGCAAUUAGAUCUGGGUUGUAUAUGUAUUAUCAUUCAAAACAUUUCCAUAUUGUUCUUUUUUGUAAGUGAGUAAUCUUAUAAAACCAAGAGUUUUAAUUUUUUUUAAAUCUUUUGUUAUAUGGGAUUGCUUUCUGGGAAAGGGAGGAGGGAUGCUGGGAAAAAUUCUGAUACUAAAACAGAAAAUAUCAACAAAAUUUAUUUUUUAAAAAAAGGAAGAAAAUGAGCACUUCAGAAUUUCAGAGCAGAGGCAUGACCCCUGAGGAGAGAUAUGAGAAGCUACCUCAUCCUGUUCCUUUGCAUAGGGAAGAAAUUACCCAACUUAUACCUCUAAGACUUGACUCCUUUCCAACCAAAUGCCAGUUUCACAAUCAACUCAUAGAAAAUAACAAUAAUUUAUACAAUAUUAUAGCAACCAGAAAUCAGAGAACAAAGAGGAGAACGUAUAUAUCAGACAAAAUCCAGAGGGAAGGAACUCUUCCAUUGCAAGAUAACUCACCUCAAUCAAGAGAGAGUCGUACAUUUCAGCCAAAGGGAAAUUUCCCCAAAGCCUCUAGUGAAGAAAGUUGAGAACAGAAACACAAUCAAAGCAUUAACUCCUCUACAUACCAGCUCUCCAGUCUUUCUUUCCCUUCAGAGCCCUGAAGAGAGUCUGAACCUGAGUGUCUUCUCUCUGGAAUCUAGAAACCAGAAGACAAGGAUCUAUCUUCUCCCAAGUGAUUACCAACUCUGCCCCUCACACAAGUGGAGAACACUAAAUAAUCAAUCUUCACCAGUGAGAAGAAUCUUAUGGAAAUUAGGUUUGAGACUUGAAUUUCAACUCUGUGUUAUUUACUUGUCUUCUAUUGGGAUGUAAGUUACUUAUAAGUAAGAAUUGUUGGUAUUCUUUGUGUCCCUGUUCCCUAAUAUAAUUCCUGACAAGUAAUAAAUACUUAAUGAAUGAUUGUUGAUUGAAUAUCAUUCCUAAGGGAUUCUCAUCUCUCUUUGGUUCUCUUCUCUUACAAAAUAUCAGGGCAUUGGUCCCUGAACCUAUCCCUUAUCUAAACUCUUUGAAAUAUAUUCUUCUUAAAUCAAGGGUGUACAUGAGACCUUGCCUGGCUUUCAAAUAGGCAAAAAAUCCAAAACAACAACAACAACAACAACAACAACAACAACAACAACAAACGAUUUUCCCUUGUUGCUUCCUCCACCUUUGUGAAUAGGAAUAUUAAUAUUUUUCAGCUUUUGAAGGGGGGUGGUGGCUCCAGUAAGUGUCUGCAUAAUUUUAGUCCUUCCUUACUAGUAAAUCAUGUCUUCAUGACAUCCUUAUUAGCUGUGUCAACAUGGAAUUUAGGAAUCCCAAACUUGUGGCCUAGUGGGAUCUGAUGAACCCCAAUUUUAGAUUUAGCUUGUAGAUUGGAAACCCCAAAACUUGUCCUUGUUCCCUGUUCCCAUGAGAAAUCUACCCUGAAGGGAAAUGAUGACCCUGGGUGAGAUAAGCAUAUGCUAAGGACCCUCUUUGUUUUAGGUAGCAUCCCCUAUUGUAUUAGAACCUUUCUCAGGAAGGUCAGACCUGGGCAUGAACCAUCCUUUAGUAACUUUGUAAGCAGCCCCCUUCUCUUGCAUCCUAGCAUCUAGCUAUGAUUGUAUCCUGUCAGUGUAGUUUGAACACUCCCAUUUUCCUUGUAGCCAUAGUGAUGUCAAUCAUCUUUUCCUGCCCCUGGAUUUCCAAAUGGUAUAUAGG
Monodelphis domestica (gray short-tailed opossum) is the source of this 2126-nucleotide non-coding RNA. The record is from RefSeq and is a predicted model, not a curated record. NCBI's taxonomy places the organism in Eukaryota, Metazoa, Chordata, Mammalia, Didelphimorphia, Didelphidae.